Molecule: non-coding RNA, 95 nt
Organism: Acanthosepion pharaonis
Lineage: Eukaryota; Metazoa; Mollusca; Cephalopoda; Sepiida; Sepiidae
Source: the annotation of a GenBank genome assembly
GAAACACCGGAUCUCAUAUGAUCACAGAAGUUAAGCACCAUCAAGCUUGGUCAAUACCUAGAUGGAUGGCCACUUGGUAAUACCAUGUGAUGUAC